UGCCAACUGUAGAGCCUGCGGUGGCGGUCC
Molecule: non-coding RNA, 30 nt
Filed under: Mus musculus (house mouse)
Lineage: Eukaryota; Metazoa; Chordata; Mammalia; Rodentia; Muridae
Source: RNAcentral